This 474-nucleotide unclassified non-coding RNA is filed under the name Hevea brasiliensis (rubber tree). The record is from RNAcentral. Lineage: Eukaryota; Viridiplantae; Streptophyta; Magnoliopsida; Malpighiales; Euphorbiaceae.
UUUUUAGAUUGAAAAAAAAAAAGCCUUAAAACUAUAAAACCUGACUCAAUAUCGUUCCCAUUAUUAUAAUCAUGAUACAACAAAUGCAACAUAUGAAUAUAACUUUUCUGAUUUAUCACCUGAAUCACCUCAACCACUAGCUAGCCUUUGAUGAUCAUGCUGUUGCCUCCCUAAUUUAUCCUCUCAAGGUCGUUCAUAGGGCAUCCAUGCAUAGACAAGAGCCAGCUCUGCGAAGUUGGUUCCAUAUUCUGCACUAUAUGGAAAAAAAAAAACAAAAAAAAAAAAGGGCAAACACACUGAAUGGAAGCAUUGACCUGCUAAAGCAGAAUCUCUUAUGAAAUUUACAAGGUGAAAAUAGAGAACCCAUGAGCUCAUUAAGCUAUGACACGCCUUAAAUAACUUUCUCCCAUGCACUCUACAGAACAACCCUCCCAAAAUUCUCUUGAUCAAGUUGAUAUCUUAACUCCCCAAGUU